AAUAUCUCCCUGCUCGCAAUGGGCCUUUCUCACCUGAGGGAUAUGUCGUCUUGUUUUUGCAUCAUUAGAUCUGACCAGAACAGCACAGCACCAUAUUCCCCUCUGAGAGGCCGUCACACACCCAUCAGCCUCCCGGGGAGAGGGGGCAGACCCAGCAACAGCCUCCAGGGCCCUCCAUCCGCAGCACCAGCAAGCUGUGUCCAAGCAGCGUGCAGGUAAACAAGCAGCUACAAGACAGCAUCUGCAUCAGGCUCAUUGAUUUCUCUGACUUUGCUCUACUUAUGCUUUUUUUCUG
This 295-nucleotide long non-coding RNA is filed under the name Astyanax mexicanus (Mexican tetra). Its description in RNAcentral is "lncRNA (ENSAMXG00005018401.1)". The record is from RNAcentral. Lineage: Eukaryota; Metazoa; Chordata; Actinopteri; Characiformes; Acestrorhamphidae.